GGAGCUGUAGCUCAGUGGUAGAGCUCAUGCCUAACACGUGUGAGGCACUGGGUUCGAUCCUCAGCACCA
RNAcentral lists this transfer RNA (69 nucleotides) under Ictidomys tridecemlineatus (thirteen-lined ground squirrel). RNAcentral's name for it is "Spermophilus tridecemlineatus (thirteen-lined ground squirrel) tRNA". It matches the Rfam family "tRNA". Rfam says of the family: Transfer RNA (tRNA) molecules are approximately 80 nucleotides in length. Their secondary structure includes four short double-helical elements and three loops (D, anti-codon, and T loops). Lineage: Eukaryota; Metazoa; Chordata; Mammalia; Rodentia; Sciuridae. The record is from Rfam by way of RNAcentral.